Rattus norvegicus (Norway rat) is the source of this 1377-nucleotide non-coding RNA. Lineage: Eukaryota; Metazoa; Chordata; Mammalia; Rodentia; Muridae. The record is from RefSeq and is a predicted model, not a curated record.
ACCACAUUUCCUCUAUGGAUUUCUCAUUUCAUUUCUAAACCUGGGCUGUUUUACCACCACUUACUCUUGGUACCGUGAAGAGAGGGUAUAGGAGCUGUUCUCAUUACAGAGUCAUCAGUGUAACCCGACUACCAGAGCAUGAGCUGAACUUGAACAGCAGAGGAUGUACCAAAGUUGUGGGGGAAGGACCACAAGCCCUCGAGCUUACACAAAGAACAGCCAACAGCCUUGGAGUGCUGCGAGAUGAAGAAAUUAUCUUCUCUAGGGAGGAGCACACUAAUCUGGUUAUCCAACACCAAAUGGUCAUCUCUGAAGUGAUUUUUCACACUACAUGGAUGUCGUCCUAUAAACUGAAACUAAAAUCAUGUCACAUGCAAUUUUAUAUGAAGAUUAACUAAUGAAUGCAAAAUGCCGAUAACCGUACAUGUGUCAACGUUCCUAUUUUUGUUCCUUCUCCGAGGAAGGAAAAAAGAUUUUGUAAUAUUUCAGGACUCCCAAGUAAGAGCUUCCUAUUCAGAAACAGAGCCCUUUCAAAUCAGCAGGACUCCAAGCUCAUCAUCGUCUGGAACCCUGUUGGCCCCUUUUAUCCCAGGGACUUACUGGCCAUCCAAGCUAAACUAGACAAAAGUGGGAUAUUUGAAAAUGAAAGUUCUUAACUUAGUGCAUGAAAUGCAGGGUUGCUUAUGAUAAAUAAAUAAGUAAAUAAAUAUUCGAGGAAAGAGUCUCUUUGUAGCUCAGUCUCCCCAUAACACAAUGGAGUGCCCGCUGCUGUUCAGUCUGAAUGCACAAAACCCUGCCGGAGGGUACAGAGAAUUUUUAUCUUGCUUCUUUUUGUUGUGUUUUACAAAUUGUUCCAGGCCCUGUGGGCCUAAUUUUUGAUAGAAGAGGGGGACUUUGGAGUCCUCUCCAAAUUUUCAUUGUGGGGCACAGAAGGCAACCUGGAGACAUUUCUUUCCUAUGUGACUAAGGGAGGGCAUUCAGUCCCCGGGCUCUGGCAAUCCAUGCUUAUGAGGCUGCUUGUGGCAUUGAAGGUUCAAAUACAAAGAUGUGGGUAGAAAAAUAUCCCAAAGUUUCAAAGGCGAAAGCUGCUGUCUGAAGUUCGCUAACGUUUCUGUGGGAAGUAGUGAGGGAGCAAAGCUGAACUCCCUGCAAAUUACACAAAGGGGACUUGAGAAGCUGCCGUGUGGCAGCCCUCAGAAGUCCUCAUCUAUGUUGAUUUAUGCAGUGAUUUUCUUUGACCCCAGGGAAAGCUGCUUUAUGUUUGGACAUCUAUGCCUUCCUACCCAUCUGUGAGAUCCUCCAAGUGACAGUGCAGAGAAAUGAGUGGAGAAAAGAAGACAGUCAGGAAAAAAAAUAAAUUACUCAUUCACAAGUGAA